Molecule: non-coding RNA, 562 nt
Organism: Prunus mume (Japanese apricot)
Lineage: Eukaryota; Viridiplantae; Streptophyta; Magnoliopsida; Rosales; Rosaceae
Source: RefSeq, a predicted model, not a curated record
CGGGGAUGAAAAGGAAAAUUCGUGCGUUUGGCAAAUUCUGCUCGAGAUUUGACAAAUCACAUGUGGGAAAUAUGGAGGGAUUUCCUAAUCCAAAAUCCCGAGUUCAAAUCCUAUCAUAAUUGGCUGAAUUGUGCAACAAGUGUGAGAAAUUGCAUUUGCUGCUCGCCAAAUCUCCUCGACAAAUACACCCAUAUCAGUUUUCUAACGAAAGUGGGAAAAGAAGGCCAUCCAUCCAAGUUUCGCUUAUUAUUGCCAUCUCUGCCUUUCAAUCUAAGACUCGGUGUUGUUCCAAUAAAGGUAUAGUCUCAACCUAUCCUUUCUUUUCAAUUUUUUUUUCAAUAACAAUUUAUGACUUCAGAUUAUGGGUUGAUUAUGUUUAUUUGUUCAUCACCCUCUAUGUUGUUAUUUUGGAAUGUGAAUGUGUGCUUAGGAGAAUGGUUGGGUUGAUUCAAUUGUAAAUAAAGUUAAACAUCACAAGAGAAGUGUGUGAGGGGAAAAUUCAGUGUUUUUUCUUUCGUUGUAGAUAUUCAUGUUUUUGUUAUUUCAUAAUUGAGGAAGAAGG